GGCUCAGGACGAACGCUGGCGGCGUGCCUAACACAUGCAAGUCGAGCGAGGAGAUCCUUCGGGAUGAUCCUAGCGGCGGACGGGUGAGUAACACGUGGGCAACCUGCCUCAUAGAGAGGAAUAGCCUUCCGAAAGGGAGAUUAAUACCUCAUAACAUUGCAGUUUCGCAUGGAACAGCAAUUAAAGGAGUAAUCCGCUAUGAGAUGGGCCCGCGGCGCAUUAGCUAGUUGGUGAGGUAACGGCUCACCAAGGCGACGAUGCGUAGCCGACCUGAGAGGGUGAUCGGCCACAUUGGGACUGAGACACGGCCCAGACUCCUACGGGAGGCAGCAGUGGGGAAUAUUGCACAAUGGGGGAAACCCUGAUGCAAGCAACGCCGCGUGAGUGAUGACGGCCUUCGGGUUGUAAAGCUCUGUCUUCAGGGACGAUAAUGACGGUACCUGAGGAGGAAGCCACGGCUAACUACGUGCCAGCCGCAGC
RNAcentral lists this ribosomal RNA (480 nucleotides) under uncultured bacterium. RNAcentral's name for it is "bacterial SSU rRNA". It matches the Rfam family "Bacterial small subunit ribosomal RNA", at positions 21 to 518 of the family's 1533-position model. The record is from RNAcentral.